GAUGAACGCUGGCGGCGUGCUUAACACAUGCGAGUCGAACGAUGAAGCCCAGCUUGCUGGGUGGAUUAGUGGCGAACGGGUGAGUAACACGUGAGUAACCUGCCCUUAACUCUGGGAUAAGCCUGGGAAACUGGGUCUAAUACCGGAUAGGAGCGUCCACCGCAUGGUGGGUGUUGGAAAGAUUUAUCGGUUUUGGAUGGACUCGCGGCCUAUCAGCUUGUUGGUGAGGUAAUGGCUCACCAAGGCGACGACGGGUAGCCGGCCUGAGAGGGUGACCGGCCACACUGGGACUGAGACACGGCCCAGACUCCUACGGGAGGCAGCAGUGGGGAAUAUUGCACAAUGGGCGCAAGCCUGAUGCAGCGACGCCGCGUGAGGGAUGACGGCCUUCGGGUUGUAAACCUCUUCCAGUAGGGAAGAAGCGAAAGUGACGGUACCUGCAGAAGAAGCACCGGCUAACUACGUG
RNAcentral lists this ribosomal RNA (466 nucleotides) under uncultured bacterium. Its description in RNAcentral is "partial 16S ribosomal RNA". It matches the Rfam family "Bacterial small subunit ribosomal RNA", at positions 28 to 507 of the family's 1533-position model. The record is from RNAcentral.